RNAcentral lists this ribosomal RNA (491 nucleotides) under uncultured bacterium. Its description in RNAcentral is "bacterial SSU rRNA". It matches the Rfam family "Bacterial small subunit ribosomal RNA", at positions 43 to 507 of the family's 1533-position model. The record is from RNAcentral.
CGUGCCUAAUACAUGCAAGUCGAACGGUCUUUUCUAUGGAAGCUUGCUUCCACUGAGAAGAUAGUGGCGAACGGGUGAGUAACACGUGGGUAACCUGCCCAUAAGAGGGGGAUAACAUCCGGAAACGGGUGCUAAUACCGCAUAGUUUUCUUGAUCGCAUGAUUGAGAAAGGAAAGACGGCCUUUGUGCUGUCGCUUAUGGAUGGACCCGCGGCGUAUUAGUUAGUUGGUGAGGUAACGGCUCACCAAGACGAUGAUACGUAGCCGACCUGAGAGGGUGAUCGGCCACAUUGGGACUGAGACACGGCCCAAACUCCUACGGGAGGCAGCAGUAGGGAAUCUUCCGCAAUGGACGAAAGUCUGACGGAGCAACGCCGCGUGAGUGAAGAAGGUUUUCGGAUCGUAAAACUCUGUUGUCAGAGAAGAACAAGUUGGAGAGUAACUGCUCCAGCCUUGACGGUAUCUGACCAGAAAGCCACGGCUAACUACGUG